CAGUCGCCACGGUAAUACGGAGGGUGCAAGCGUUAAUCGGAAUUACUGGGCGUAAAGCGCACGCAGGCGGUCUGACAAGUCAGAUGUGAAAUCCCCGGGCUUAACCUGGGAACUGCAUUUGAAACUGUCAGGCUGGAGUCUUGUAGAGGGGGGUAGAAUUCCAGGUGUAGCGGUGAAAUGCGUAGAGAUCUGGAGGAAUACCGGUGGCGAAGGCGGCCCCCUGGACAAAGACUGACGCUCAGGUGCGAAAGCGUGGGGAGCAAACAGGAUUAGAGACCCCAGUAGUCCCUGUCUCUUAUAC
Molecule: ribosomal RNA, 301 nt
Filed under: uncultured bacterium
Lineage: Bacteria
Description: partial 16S ribosomal RNA
Rfam family: Bacterial small subunit ribosomal RNA
Source: RNAcentral